AGCCCAGAGCCUGAAUCAGUGUGUGUGUUAGUGGAAGCGUCUGGAAAGGCGUGCGAUACAGGGUGACAGCCCCGUACACAAAAAUGCACAUGCUGUGAGCUCGAUGAGUAGGGCGGGACACGUGGUAUCCUGUCUGAAUAUGGGGGGACCAUCCUCCAAGGCUAAAUACUCCUGACUGACCGAUAGUGAACCAGUACCGUGAGGGAAAGGCGAAAAGAACCCCGGCGAGGGGAGUGAAAAAGAACCUGAAACCGUGUACGUACAAGCAGUGGGAGCACAGAGCAAUCUGUGUGACUGCGUACCUUUUGUAUAAUGGGUCAGCGACUUAUAUUCUGUAGCAAGGUUAACCGAAUAGGGGAGCCGAAGGGAAACCGAGUCUUAACUGGGCGUUAAGUUGCAGGGUAUAGACCCGAAACCCGGUGAUCUAGCCAUGGGCAGGUUGAAGGUUGGGUAACACUAACUGGAGGACCGAACCGACUAAUGUUGAAAAAUUAGCGGAUGACUUGUGGCUGGGGGUGAAAGGCCAAUCAAACCGGGAGAUAGCUGGUUCUCCCCGAAAGCUAUUUAGGUAGCGCCUCGUGAAUUCAUCUCCGGGGGUAGAGCACUGUUUCGGCAAGGGGGUCAUCCCGACUUACCAACCCGAUGCAAACUGCGAAUACCGGAGAAUGUUAUCACGGGAGACACACGGCGGGUGCUAACGUCCGUCGUGAAGAGGGAAACAACCCAGACCGCCAGCUAAGGUCCCAAAGUCAUGGUUAAGUGGGAAACGAUGUGGGAAGGCCCAGACAGCCAGGAUGUUGGCUUAGAAGCAGCCAUCAUUUAAAGAAAGCGUAAUAGCUCACUGGUCGAGUCGGCCUGCGCGGAAGAUGUAACGGGGCUAAACCAUGCACCGAAGCUGCGGCAGCGACGCUUAUGCGUUGUUGGGUAGGGGAGCGUUCUGUAAGCCUGCGAAGGUGUGCUGUGAGGCAUGCUGGAGGUAUCAGAAGUGCGAAUGCUGACAUAAGUAACGAUAAAGCGGGUGAAAAGCCCGCUCGCCGGAAGACCAAGGGUUCCUGUCCA
This 1059-nucleotide ribosomal RNA is filed under the name Escherichia coli. RNAcentral's name for it is "partial 23S ribosomal RNA". It matches the Rfam family "Bacterial large subunit ribosomal RNA", at positions 296 to 1361 of the family's 2925-position model. Lineage: Bacteria; Pseudomonadati; Pseudomonadota; Gammaproteobacteria; Enterobacterales; Enterobacteriaceae. The record is from RNAcentral.